GAUGAAGAACGCAGCGAAAUGCGAUACGUAGUGUGAAUUGCAGAAUUCAGUGAAUCAUCGAAUCUUUGAACGCACAUUGCACCUCUCGGUAUUCCGGGAGGUAUGCCUGUUCGAGCGUCAUUUGUACCCUCAAGCUCUGCUUGGUGUUGGGUGUUUGUUCCGCCUCUGUGUGUGAACUCGCCUCAAAACAAUUGGCAGCCGGUGUACAUGUUUCGGAGCGCAGCACAUUUUGCGAUCCAGAUCAACGUACAGCGGCAUCCAAGAAGCCUUAUUUAACGCUCUUGACCUCGGAUCAGUUAGGGAUACCCGCUGAACUUAAGCAUAUCAAUAAGCGGAGGA
Molecule: unclassified non-coding RNA, 339 nt
Filed under: soil metagenome
Description: partial contains 5.8S ribosomal RNA, internal transcribed spacer 2, and large subunit ribosomal RNA
Rfam family: 5.8S ribosomal RNA (bases 1-120)
Source: RNAcentral